Molecule: long non-coding RNA, 454 nt
Filed under: Amborella trichopoda
Lineage: Eukaryota; Viridiplantae; Streptophyta; Magnoliopsida; Amborellales; Amborellaceae
Description: long non-coding RNA (ATRI_LNC001357)
Source: RNAcentral
UGACACAUUAUCUAGACUGUCCAUUUUCAAGAUUUUUAUAUAUUUAUAGAUCUACUUGAUUUUAACUAUUUUUGGAUUUUAAAAUUUUCUAAUUAGGUAUGAAAAUAGAUUUUAAGAUAAUAUUAAGAAUUUUUUACAACAAAUUUGCAUGUUAUGAUAAUAUUUUAAGGUGCGCUUAAUUGGAUUGUUUAAGGUUGUAACCUUAUAGAAAUGGCACCUAUCAAAAAAUAUUUUAAUUUUUUUUUUAAAUAAAAUAUUUAUUUGAAAUAUAUAUAUUUGGAUCUGGUUUCUAUGUAGCCAAAUUUAUUUUUGAGAUGGAUUUUAAGACUUAAUUUUUAAAGACAUGUAAGCUCUAACAUGGAGAUGAAUAAAUAAAUAAAUUUUAAAAAUUAAAAAUAAUAACUCUAGUAAGAAAACAUUUGAACCGUUAGUUUAUAUUGUUUUUAGAUGGAAC